AUUGAUUUAAUUAUUUUUUGUAACUGCUAACAGUGAAUUUCAGAUGCUUUCUUUUCAGACAGGUUUUCUGAACGAUUCUCACCACUCAUGCCCUCACUAAUGAAUGCAACCAUGACUGCAUGCAGCUCACAAAAAAUAAUUAA
Molecule: long non-coding RNA, 143 nt
Organism: Sinocyclocheilus rhinocerous
Lineage: Eukaryota; Metazoa; Chordata; Actinopteri; Cypriniformes; Cyprinidae
Exons: 3
Source: RefSeq, a predicted model, not a curated record